RNAcentral lists this ribosomal RNA (425 nucleotides) under uncultured bacterium. RNAcentral describes it as "bacterial SSU rRNA". It matches the Rfam family "Bacterial small subunit ribosomal RNA", at positions 354 to 796 of the family's 1533-position model. The record is from RNAcentral.
GUGGGGAAUAUUGGACAAUGGGCGAAAGCCUGAUCCAGCCAUGCCGCGUGAACGAUGAAGGCCUUAGGGUUGUAAAGUUCUUUUGUCAGGGAAGAUAAUGACGGUACCUGAAGAAUAAGCACCGGCUAACUUCGUGCCAGCAGCCGCGGUAAUACGAAGGGUGCUAGCGUUGUUCGGAAUCACUGGGCGUAAAGCGCGCGUAGGCGGCGAUACAAGUCAGAGGUGAAAGCCUGGAGCUCAACUCCAGAACUGCCUUUGAAACUGUAUUGCUAGAGUGUCGGAGGGGAUAGCGGAAUUGCUAAUGUAGAGGUGAAAUUCGUAGAUAUUAGCAGGAACACCGGUGGCGAAGGCGGCUAUCUGGACGACAACUGACGCUGAGGCGCGAAAGCGUGGGGAUCAAACAGGAUUAGAUACCCUAGUAGUCC